UUGCACUUUUUGGACGUCGACCGGCGCACGGGUGAGUAACGCGUAUCCAACCUUCCCAUGACUAAGGGAUAACCUGCCGAAAGGCAGACUAAUACCUUAUAGUCUUCACUGACGGCAUCAGAUGUGAAGUAAAGAUUUAUCGGUUAUGGAUGGGGAUGCGUCUGAUUAGUUAGUUGGCGGGGUAACGGCCCACCAAGGCAACGAUCAGUAGGGGCUCUGAGGGGAAGGUCCCCCACAUUGGAACUGUGACACGGUCCAAACUCCUACGGGAGGCAGCAGUGAGGAAUAUUGGUCAAUGGGCGAGAGCCUGAACCAGCCAAGUAGCGUGCAGGACGACGGCCCUAUGGGUUGUAAACUGCUUUUGUAUGGGGAUAAAGUCAAUCACGUGUGAUUGUUUGCAGGUACCAUACGAAUAAGGACCGGCUAAUUCCGUGCCAGCAGCCGCGGUAAUCCGGAAGGUCCGGGCGUUAUCCGGAUUUACUGGGUUUAAAGGGAGCGUAGGCUGGAGAUUAAGUGUGUUGUGAAAUGUAGACGCUCAACGUCUGACUUGCAGCGCAUACUGGUUUCCUUGAGUACGCACAACGUUGGCGGAAUUCGUCGUGUAGCGGUGAAUGCUUAGAUA
Molecule: ribosomal RNA, 622 nt
Filed under: uncultured Prevotella sp.
Lineage: Bacteria; Pseudomonadati; Bacteroidota; Bacteroidia; Bacteroidales; Prevotellaceae
Description: bacterial SSU rRNA
Rfam family: Bacterial small subunit ribosomal RNA
Source: RNAcentral